This is a small nucleolar RNA of Impatiens glandulifera, 83 nucleotides long. RefSeq annotates it as small nucleolar RNA Z199. The record is from RefSeq and is a predicted model, not a curated record. Lineage: Eukaryota; Viridiplantae; Streptophyta; Magnoliopsida; Ericales; Balsaminaceae. The transcript has a single exon.
GAACCAGCUGAUGAGGAAACAAAACUGCAACAAUAUGAUGGAAUAUUUCCAUGAUUCACCUUAUAUUUAAGUCUCUGAUGGUU